RNAcentral lists this long non-coding RNA (554 nucleotides) under Chlamydomonas reinhardtii. RNAcentral's name for it is "long non-coding RNA (CREI_LNC000377)". Lineage: Eukaryota; Viridiplantae; Chlorophyta; Chlorophyceae; Chlamydomonadales; Chlamydomonadaceae. The record is from RNAcentral.
CUGCUUCCUUGACUGCUCGUAUGCGCAGCCAGGCUCGCCCCCAUCGCCUCCUGCCUGCUUGUCACAUGCGCAGGUCUGUGAGCACGCGGCCUCCAGUGCUGCCUCCACUGCUGCCGCCGCCCCCUCACAUGCGCAGGUCGGUGAGCACGCGGCCUCCAGUGCAGCCUCCACUGCUGCCGCCCUCCCUUCACAUGCGCAGGUCUGUGAGCACGCGGCCUCCAGUGCUGCCUCCACUGCUGCCGCCGCCCCCUCACAUGCGCAGGUCGGUGAGCACGCGGCCUCCAGUGCAGCCUCCACUGCUGCCGCCCUCCCUUCACAUGCGCAGGUCUGUGAGCACGCGGCCUCCAGUGCUGCCUCCACUGCUGCCGCCGCCCCCUCACAUGCGCAAAUCGGUGAGCACGCCGCCUCCAGUGCUGCCUCCACUGCUGCCAACACCCCCCCUCACAUGCGCAGGUCUGUGAGCACGCGGCCUCCAGUGCUGCCUCCACUGCUGCCAACACCCCCCCUCACAUGCGCAGGUCAGUGAGCACGCGCCCCACCACGUCCAUGAACAG